GAGAAAAAAAAUAACAGAAGUAACAAUAAAAAUAUUCCAGAAAAAAAGAAAAGAAAUAUAUAAUAAUAUAACAGUCAUACAGCCUGACUAGACUCACACAAAAGAUGCUCACUCAUAUUUAACAGUCAAAGUCAAUGUCAAUAAUAUACUUAUAGUAAAUAAUUAAAGAGAUAUAUAUGUAAUACAUAAAAUAAAUAAUAACAUUAAAUCAAUAAAAUAAAUAAAUAAAUAAAUACAUAAAUAAGAAAACGUAUACGGAGUGCAAGCUUCUGUCAAGGCUGUCACCAAAAACGCACACGUCCAGAGCGACAACCCGCUAACGCGAGAAAAUGUCACGUCACUGUCAUCAAAUAAGAGUUACGACGACAUAUUUUGUACAAAAAAUUGUUGUAUUUUUGCAACGUGGUCGUGACGUGGACAAUAGAAUUAUAUGUCAUGACGUGGCAGUGGUUAUAGAGCGUAGUAGGGACCAGUCAAGGAGUGCAAACCCCCCGGAAACCGAGACAAAGUCCGCCCCGGCAAGUCGCGUAGACCCGUAGAUCGCGCAUUGGGGGCGGUAAAUCGUUCCAGCACCGGGAGGCCGCAAACCUGAACGAUCCACGAA
Long non-coding RNA from Melitaea cinxia (Glanville fritillary), 604 nucleotides. RefSeq lists it as uncharacterized. The record is from RefSeq and is a predicted model, not a curated record. Lineage: Eukaryota; Metazoa; Arthropoda; Insecta; Lepidoptera; Nymphalidae. The transcript has 2 exons.